Molecule: ribosomal RNA, 446 nt
Filed under: uncultured bacterium
Lineage: Bacteria
Description: partial 16S ribosomal RNA
Rfam family: Bacterial small subunit ribosomal RNA
Source: RNAcentral
CCUACGGGUGGCAGCAGUCGAGAAUCAUUCACAAUGGGGGCGACCCUGCUGGUGCGACGUCGCGUGGGGGAAUGAAGGUCUUCGGAUUGUAAACCUCUGUUAUGUGGGAGCAAAUUACAAAGAUAGUACCACAAGAGGCAGUGACGGCUAACUAUGUGCCAGCAGCCGCGGUAAUACAGCGGUCUCAAGCGGUGUUCGGCAUCACUGGGCGUAAAGCGUUCGUAUGCUGUUUCGUAAGUCGUGUGUGAAAGGCGCGGGCCCAACCCGCGGACCGCACAUGAUACUGCGACAUUAGAGUAAUGGAGAGGGAACCGGAAUUCUCGGUGUAGCAGUGAAAUGCUUAGAUAUCAGGCAGAACAUCGGUGGCGUAGGCGCCUUACUGGGUCGUAAUUGACGCUGAGGAACGAAAGCCAGGGUAGCAAAUGGGAUUAGAUACCCCUGUAGUC